This is a long non-coding RNA of Oncorhynchus tshawytscha (Chinook salmon), 5876 nucleotides long. NCBI's taxonomy places the organism in Eukaryota, Metazoa, Chordata, Actinopteri, Salmoniformes, Salmonidae. The record is from Ensembl.
UUUUUAAGGGUUAUCCUAUAGGAACAGCCAAAGGACCCUUUAAGAACCCUUUUUUGUAAAAACGUUAGUUGUGUGGGGUAGGAAUAACUGUCAUUGAUGUCCUAAUAAGCUGACUGUUAUCCAGUCAUGUUUUGAAGGUAAUUGCAUGGACAGUGAGACAUGGAGGUAGGUAGCUCUAAUGUAGUGGUAUGACUAACACCAUGUCCAUAACCACCUCUAUGCAGGCUGCUGGAGGGAGGGACACCGUGGCAGAGCACAGCAUGCCUGCUGCUCCUCACAACCACGCUCAAGUGACCAUGCGUGAUGUCAUUAAAGAGGGCCCAACCAUGACAUUCCACAAUGGAUUAUUGGCCCAUGUUAUGGCUGGUUGAUCGUUUAGGAGGAGGCAGGAGGCGGACCACAGUGGAACCAGUGGUAAGAAGAGACAAUGGUACUGUGUGUGUGGCUUUACUGCGUGCGUGUGUAUGCACUGAAAUGCACUGCAUUGACACAUGUUUGAUGCCGAUUGAAACAGCAUCUACAGCGGAAGGCUGUCGUCACUAUGUGAGAGCAGCAGCCAUAUCUACUGACUGUGGUCACCCUGUGCACUGCUAAGAAUAUCCAUCACACUACUGUUAAUGGAGGAAAAAGUCACCAGAGAGGGAAGACAUUGCAACACUUCAAUGUGUGUGAUGAAUCUAAAUUGAGCCCAGGAGACAAGGAGAGUGGCAUUCUAGUCAGUUACACACACACACACACACACACACACACACACACACACACACACACACACACACACACACACACACACACACACACACUCUCUCUCUGAAAUCAGGAACCUGUCCUGCUCCAGCGGCGCUGAUGCCGGCGUGCGCACCGUGAGCUCACCUCCCGUUGCCACGGCGACACCAACCAGAGGGAAAAGCCUGGUGUGUGUGACAGAGGCCUGAGAGGGAGGAAGGAGGAGGGACUGAGGAAUUCACAUAGCACUUGGCUUGUUUCAGCACAAGUACCUUAUUCAGUUACCAGGCCUUAUCACGGAAAUGCUAAACCGACCCUUUCAAUUAUCAAGGCAAUGUCUUUAGCCCGGCCGCCUGUUUAUAAUGGCCGGCCUGGGAUUUCAAAUGAGAUGUGUCAGAAAUAGUUGGCCGACAAGGUGGACAAUAGACAUUUAUACACACAAUUGGGUAUUAUCAUGCAUUAUGUACAAUUAACACGUAUUUACACAAACAUAUAGGGAAUCAUGCAGUCAUGCACACACUCACAAAUAUGACCACCAAAUGACACACACACUCAUUUUUUUUCCAUAAACAAAAAAAUGUGACUAACAGCUGCUUUGGUGCCUGCAUUCUAUUAGUGAUUAAGAGCUAACCCAGUCUGGAGGUCGUCUGCUCAUCAAUGGUGGUGCUCCACAGCCGUGAAUGCCCUGAAUUCAUUAGUCAUCGCGCACAGAUGGUGUCUGGCUGCCUGUCUCAAGUUCAAGUUCAUGUCCAGGAGACAGAGAGAGACAUGCUGAAGCCAGACAGACCAGAUGCCACUAAGACAGAGAGAGAGACAUGCUGAAGCCAGACAGACCAGAUGCUACUGAGACAGAGAGAGAGAGACAUGCUGAAGCCAGACAGACCAGACGCUACUGAGACAGAGAGAGAGAGACAUGCUGAAGCCAGACAGACCAGAUGCUACUGAGACAGAGAGAGAGACAUGCUGAAGCCAGACAGACCAGACGCUACUGAGACAGAGAGAGAGACAUGCUGAAGCCAGACAGACCAGAUGCUACUGAUACAGAGAGAGAGACAUGCUGAAGCCAGACAGACCAGACGCUACUGAGACAGAGAGAGAGACAUGCUGAAGCCAGACAGACCAGAUGCUACUGAGACAGAGAGAGAGACAUGCUGAAGCCAGACAGACCAAACCCAACUGAGACACAGCCAUUGUUCCUCAUCUACAGUACAUGAUGCAGAAGGCCAUAGCCGUGGGAAAUAGGGGUGCUGAGGGUGCUGCAGCAACCCCUGAUAAAUCUAAAUGUUAAAAUCCACAAAAUUAGUGAACUAGGCCUUUACUACUCCUGUAUUAUUAAAUACUCUUCAGCUGUCCCUAUGCAAUAAAACAUCAGUGUUAUGACAAUACUUAAGCUAUAAUAACAGUAGCAACAGCUUGGUGACCAUUUUACAUCCUUAGUCUGACAUAGAAAUGACCUGUACAGACCUCAUCAUAAAGUCACUACCCAGAUUUCACUUGUAUUGAUUGUAAAGGCAUGAGCCCUCUACACAGAAUGAAUGCACAUACAAAAUUGGCACAAAGGUGUCAAAUAUGCUGAUUGCUUGUCCAAUGAAUAUGAAAAACCUGCCAUGGUUGCCAUGGUUAUGUUAUUCUGCCAAUCAUGUGACAACAAUGGCUGCAGAGCACUGUUUGUGUGAGUGGGAAGGGAGGGGACAGAAGAGCCAGGGUUACUGUGCAGAGAGAGGCAACGUCGUCCCCACCUAUCUCUACACGCAUAGUCAAAUAAGACGCCUAUAUUUCUCUGUGAGAAUGGACCUUUUGAAAGGGAUGGCAAGGCCUCUCGUCCUCUCCUUUCCACCAGCCUGCCUGUAUGGCAGUUUCAUAAAUAACCACAAUCAUUCUCACAUCCACUCCAAGCACUUCCUACUGUAAAAUACACUACUCAGCCAACAAAGAUGACCUAGAGAAAAGAAUAUGUAAGACUGUCUGCUGUCGGGUAUAGGCCUACAUGAAUUGUAGCUAAAUAUACAACUUGAUAGAGUAUGUAUAAUAUUACCACAGACUCGUGCCUGAUUUUCCAGUGUUCACAAGGAGACUAAAUACCAUUAACGUGAUAUACACUCCUGCUCUGGAAACAGUGUACGCCCCAUGGAAACUGCUGCCUGCCUGUUUCUAUGUUACAGCAUGCACAGCAGCAAUAUUGAGAGUGACUAUGAGGCGGAUUUGCAGCCGUUUCAGACAUGUGAUAUUGUUCUCUUCUGGCAACACUGGGCUACAUCUAGCAUUGCAUUGUGAUGGCUUACAUACUGAAGAGAAUGACUGGGGUUAACAUCCGCUGUAUGAUACAGUGCUACAUUAUGGUGAAACAUAGUGUGUGACAGCCUACAAAGAACAUGAAAGUAGGAUACUGCAAACCUGUAAGACACAAACAGGCUAGCAAGACACAAACAGACUAGUUAGACACAAACAGGCUAGCAAGACACAAUCAGGCUAGUUAGACACAAUCAGGCUAGUUAGACACAAUCAGGCUAGUUAGACACAAACAGGCUAGCAAGACACAAUCAGGCUAGUUAGACACAAACAGGCUAGCAAGACACAAUCAGGCUAGUAAGACACAAACAGGCUAGCAAGACACAAACAAACUAGUAAGACACAAACAGGCUAGUAAGACACAAACAGGCUAGUAAGACACAAACAGGCUAACAAGACACAAACAGGCUAGUAAGACACAAACGGGCUAAUAAGACACAAACAGGCUAAUAAGACACAAACAGGCUAAUAAGACACAAACGGGCUAAUAAGACACAAACAGGCUAAUAAGACACAAACAGGCUAAUAAGACACAAACGGGCUAAUAAGACACAAACAGACUAGUAAUUCUGCCCCAAAAUGCAUUUGCUGAGGAAUAAUUUGUUGAAAUGGUUGACAUGAUUUACUGUAAAAAGCAUCAAAUAGAAUUGUGGUGAAGUCACACCAUUAAACGUCUCCAGACUUCCAAUGAUGAAGAAAUGUUUUUUUUCAGUCAGUGCAGUGGCCUUUUAUACUGUGGAGAAUCAACUGAUUUAUAUAUGCUGGGUUACUUACAGACCUCAAGUUUUUAUUUACACUGCCCUGACAUUUAGUAUGGCCCCAGACUAGAAAACAAUGCAGCCAUUCAUAAGUCUAGACAACGAUUUCUAACAACUUAUCCUGGGACAAUGAAACGUGGUUAUUCGCUGCUUUUCCAAAUGGUGUUCUCAAAUCUUCUUUCAGGUAAACGUACAAUGAAUGACCUGGCAUUGUACAGGGGUCGCAACAAGACACACUAGUUUUGUCUUACGGUGUGAGAAACUCUGCAAGAGACCCCUUUCAGCCACUGUGAGCCUAUUUAACAUUGAACUUGAAUAAACCUCUACGUACUAUUGCCUACCACUGCAUACGCAGGCAGUUUAAACCUAUACAUCUUCCACAUAGGCCUAUGACCGUUCAGCUAAAAACAACGUAGACCAGCCUUUGGGCACAAACAUACACUUUCAUAUUUUAGGCUAGAGCUAAUCAAUCAAGCGCUAUAGGCUAUACAAUCAAAUCCAAUUGUAUUUGUCAUAUGCUUCGCAAACAACAGGUGCAGACUAACAGUGAAAUGCUUACAACAGGCUAUAUCAUAGGACAUUACAAAAUAUAUUUUAAAAAUUGAACCUUAAUUAACAUCUAUCUGAAAAGGCCUAAUAGGUUACUAAGACUAUGCUAAAUAUACAAUAGACCUAUUCGCAAAAUAACAAUUCAUAAUUGAAUUAAAGGCACGCGUGUAGCCUACAUGAGACUCUCGCCACGCCACAGCCGAAAAACACUAGAAUAACAAUAACCUCAUCUACAGACAACAGACCACUAACAUCCGUUAAAAAAAAAAAAACAGCCGGCACCAUACAACUGGCAUCAUAAAUGGAGUCUAUUCUCAAAUGUAGCCUAAAUAUGUAUUGUUGGAAAGCCAUCUUUUAGGAACCAUGUUUUUUACAACUCUAUUGUGUUGCCAACAAAGCCUUUAAUGUUUAUGGCGUUUGUAAAAUUCUAUCCAACUGUGUUACCAUCAAUAAAGAAACAAAACAACUAUCCCGCGGGUCACCAUGUGCCUUAUGAAUGCCAUGUGCUCCCUUUGAUAGUUAAUAAAUAAAUCCACUGGCGACUAAUAUAAUGGCCUGUAUAGUUAAUAUCAUCCAAAAUACAGACUCAGCAGCCCAGAAGCCAUCCCUGCACAUUUAGGCUAUUUCUUUCAGAUGCUUUUUAUUCGGAUGUAAAAUAUUAAUCACAAUUAAAUCAAUUAAUAUAAAUGUUGGCUUUAGCUAGGCCCACCUCUGUGAAAAAAUCCUUUAUAUUAAUUUUGCAUUGUUUUAGAAUUAAAUGUAAGAUUUAUUUAAGUCCUGUUCAAAUUCAAAUACAGAGCGCACGUGACGUGAUGUCAUCUAUUCAAUUCGUUCGACUUCUUUCGGCCUAUUGCAUUCUCCGUGACAUUAAUUAUCAUGUGUCAAACAAUAGAUCGGUGUUAGAGUGCUCAAGUAGGCCCAUAUACAAUUCCGUAAUUAUAGAACAUCUUUGUAUCGAUGCAGAAACCCAUACAGUUUUAAGAUAAUGACCCACGGUCCUAAUUGUCAGUUGCCUACAAUUGGUAACGAAUUACGCAUUCAAAACCGUUACUAGGCCGCGUCCGCUGGGUGGGCAACAGCGCCUCUUUCUAUGGGGAUGCAGAUGAGUCUGGUGCACUUGACGUCUUUUCAUGACCCCCCCCCCUCACGGCGCUGUCUGUCAUAUUCGGACUGGGCAUGGCAUUGCCACUUGCCCCCGAGCGUGGGAAUGGGUGCGUCCAGUCGUUCACAUCUCCAGCCCUGUGGUUAACUGAAUCAAUUAAGCAGGGCCGACCCGACCCCCUCUUUUAGCCCAUACCCCAAACCCUCCUCUCCAUUUUUGUCAGCUCUGUAUACGUUCUAAUUAUUGCUGUUUGGGAUGCCAGCGCCGUUUCCUGGUUGGAGUUCAUCAUGCUGAAAUAAAAAAACGUUCAUGUCAAUCUCAUUCUCAAUGCUAGCCUACAUGUAUGCUAUGGCUAGGACUCUCAGUCGGAUAUAUUUGCUAUAUCAUAUUUGCCACAUUUCAUUAUAGAAAAUAACGCAUUUCAAGAUGAAUAUAACAAGAAGAAUGAAAAUGAU